GUGAGGAAUAUUGGUCAAUGGCCGAGAGGCUGAACCAGCCAAGUCGCGUGAAGGAAGAAGGAUCUAUGGUUUGUAAACUUCUUUUAUACGGGAAUAAAGUUUCCUACGUGUAGGAUUUUGUAUGUACCGUAUGAAUAAGCAUCGGCUAACUCCGUGCCAGCAGCCGCGGUAAUACGGAGGAUGCGAGCGUUAUCCGGAUUUAUUGGGUUUAAAGGGAGCGCAGACGGGAGAUUAAGUCAGUUGUGAAAGUUUGCGGCUCAACCGUAAAAUUGCAGUUGAUACUGGUUUCCUUGAGUGCAGUUGAGGCAGGCGGAAUUCGUGGUGUAGCGGUGAAAUGCUUAGAUAUCACGAAGAACCCCGAUUGCGAAGGCAGCUUGCUAAACUGUAACUGACGUUCAUGCUCGAAAGUGUGGGUAUCAAACAGGAUUAGAAACCCCGGUAGUCC
This 445-nucleotide ribosomal RNA is filed under the name uncultured bacterium. Its description in RNAcentral is "partial 16S ribosomal RNA". It matches the Rfam family "Bacterial small subunit ribosomal RNA", at positions 354 to 796 of the family's 1533-position model. The record is from RNAcentral.